This 496-nucleotide ribosomal RNA is filed under the name uncultured soil bacterium. Its description in RNAcentral is "bacterial SSU rRNA". It matches the Rfam family "Bacterial small subunit ribosomal RNA", at positions 26 to 526 of the family's 1533-position model. The record is from RNAcentral.
AGGACGAACGCUGGCGGCGUGCUUAAUACAUGCAAGUCGAGGGACGAAACCAAGAUGGGCAACCAUCGAGGCUGAAACCGGCGAACGGGUGAGUAACACGUGGGUAACGCACCCCAGACACAGGAACAACAACGGGAAACCGUUGCUAAUGCCUGAUAACCCCUGCUUACCGCAUGGCGGGCAGGGCAAAAGCUCCGGCGGUCUGGGACCGGCCCGCGUCCUAUCAGCUUGUUGGUGGGGUAAUGGCCUACCAAGGCGAUGACGGGUAGCUGGCGUGAGAGCGUGACCAGCCACACUGGGACUGAGACACGGCCCAGACUCCUACGGGAGGCAGCAGUAGGGAAUCUGCACAAUGGGCGAAAGCCUGAUGCAGCGACGCCGCGUGAGGGAUGGACGGCCUUCGGGUGUAAACCUCUUUCAGCGGGACGAAGCGAAAGUGACGGUACCGCGAAGAAGAACGGUCCGGCCAACGUACGUAGCCAAGCCAAGGCCCGAC